GAUGAAGAACGUAGCGAAAUGCGAUAAGUAGUGUGAAUUGCAGAAUUCAGUGAAUCAUCGAAUCUUUGAACGCACAUUGCGCCCUUUGGUAUUCCAAAGGGCAUGCCUGUUCGAGCGUCAUUUGUACCCUCAAGCUUUGCUUGGUGUUGGGCGUCUUGUCUCUAGCUUUGCUGGAGACUCGCCUUAAAGUAAUUGGCAGCCAGCCUACUGGUUUCGGAGCGCAGCACAAGUCGCACUCUCUAUCAGCAAAGGUCUAGCAUCCAUUAAGCCUUUUUUUUCAACUUUUGACCUCGGAUCAGGUAGGGAUACCCGCUGAACUUAAGCAUAUCAAUAAGCGGAGGA
This 342-nucleotide unclassified non-coding RNA is filed under the name soil metagenome. RNAcentral describes it as "partial contains 5.8S ribosomal RNA, internal transcribed spacer 2, and large subunit ribosomal RNA". The stretch from base 1 to 120 matches the Rfam family "5.8S ribosomal RNA", at positions 35 to 154 of the family's 154-position model. The record is from RNAcentral.